GGGUAAAAGCACUGUUUCGGUGCGGGCUGCGAGAGCGGUACCAAAUCGAGUCAAACUCAGAAUACCCGUAGCACACAAUGCCAGUCAGACGGUGGGGGAUAAGCUUCAUCGUCGAAAGGGAAACAGCCCAGACCACCAGCUAAGGUCCCCAAAUGGAUGCUAAGUGAUAAAGGAGGUGGGAUUGCAGAGACAACCAGGAGGUUUGCCUAGAAGCAGCCAUCCUUAAAAGAGUGCGUAAUAGCUCACUGGUCAAGCGAUCCUGCGCCGAAAAUGAACGGGGCUAAGCAUCCUACCGAAGCUGUGGACUUGUAUUUAUACAAGUGGUAGAGGAGCGUUCUGUACGAGUUGAAGCGUUAGCGAGAGCAGGCGUGGAUUGUACAGAAGUGAGAAUGUCGGCUUAAGUAGCGAAAAUGUAGGUGAGAAUCCUACACCCCGAAAUCCCAAGGGUUCCUCCGGAAGGCUCGUCCGCGGAGGGUUAGUCGGGACCUAAGGCGAGGCCGAAAGGCGUAGUCGAUGGACAACGGAUUAAUAUUUCCGUACCUGAUUUGGAUUGUGGCGGGGGACGGAGAAGGCUAAGACAGCCGGAUGUUGGUUACCGGUUUAAGCAUCCGAGGUGAUGAGAGGCGGCGAAAACGUCUUGAGCUGAGGUGCGAGUACGACCCGUUACGACGGGGAAGUGUCUGAUGUCAUGCUUCCAAGAAAAGCCCGAACCACGUUAAUUCAAAUUGGCCCGUACCCCAAACCGACACAGGUGGGAAGGUAGAGUAUACCCAGGGGCGCGAGAUAACUCUCUCUAAGGAACUCGGCAAAAUGGCCCCGUAACUU
This 825-nucleotide ribosomal RNA is filed under the name Phormidium sp. UTEX B EE30. Its description in RNAcentral is "bacterial LSU rRNA". It matches the Rfam family "Bacterial large subunit ribosomal RNA", at positions 899 to 1736 of the family's 2925-position model. Lineage: Bacteria; Bacillati; Cyanobacteriota; Cyanophyceae; Oscillatoriales; Oscillatoriaceae. The record is from RNAcentral.